AUUGAACGCUGGCGGCAGGCCUAACACAUGCAAGUCGAACGGUAACAGGAAACAGCUUGCUGUUUCGCUGACGAGUGGCGGACGGGUGAGUAAUGUCUGGGAAACUGCCUGAUUGAGGGGGAUAACUACUGGAAACGGUAACUAAUACCGCAUAACGUCGCAAGACCAAAGAGGGGGACCCUUUGGCCUCUUGCCAUCGUAUGUGCCCAGAUGUGAUUAGCUUGUUUGUGGGGUAACGGCUCACCAAGGCGACGAUCCCUAUCGGGUCUGAGAGGAUGAACAGCCACACUGGAAAUGAGACACGGUCCAGAAUCCUACGGGAGGCAGCAGUGGGGAAUAUUGCACCAUGGGGGGCAGGCUGAUGCCGGCAUGCCGGGUGUAUGAAGGAGGCCUUCGGGUUGUAAAGUACUUUUAGCGGGGAGAAAGGGAGUAAAGUUAAUACCUUUGCUCAUUGAAGUUAACCGAAGAAGAAGCCACGGCUAACUUCGUG
RNAcentral lists this ribosomal RNA (490 nucleotides) under uncultured bacterium. RNAcentral's name for it is "partial 16S ribosomal RNA". It matches the Rfam family "Bacterial small subunit ribosomal RNA", at positions 30 to 507 of the family's 1533-position model. The record is from RNAcentral.